AAUGCUAUGGAAGUUGCCAGAAAAAGAAUUCUAAGGAAUUGGUUCUUGGCAAAUCCUAAGGAAUUUGUCUCAGGCAUUUGUCUUCCUAAUGAACUGGUGGGGAAGUAGCUGUGUUGGUACAUCAUCUCCAAGGCAGGAUCCUGCCCUCUGAAGCUUGAGUGGCUCCCAAAGUCUCAAGCCCACUGUGCUGAUUUGAACAUUUGGCUCAGCCUUUUCUGGUCAGCACCAACGUUCACCUGGCCAUGCUGACGGCAGCAGGCAUGGAUCUGGCCAUUCCCACAGCCUGGUCACCCCAUGGUGGCCCUUGAUUGAGUUUGCCAUGGCACGGAGGGGGCCUCUCCUACUCACUGAUCUCCUUAUUGAGACAGAGUCUUGCUGUGUUGCCCAGGCUGGUCUCAAACUCCUGGGCUCAAGAAAUCCUCCCACCUCAGCCUCCCAAAGUGUUGGGAUUACAGGUUUAUGAGCAGAAACCAUUGCUUAAGAGAUACUCACCAUCAAGCAGAAUCAUGGGGGACAGAGCACCAUGAACUCAGGGAGCAAAGAGAACACUGUGGGGGUAUUCUUGGGGAUGGAAUCUCCACAUCAAAUCCAUCGGCAAG
RNAcentral lists this long non-coding RNA (599 nucleotides) under Pongo abelii (Sumatran orangutan). RNAcentral describes it as "lincRNA". Lineage: Eukaryota; Metazoa; Chordata; Mammalia; Primates; Hominidae. The record is from RNAcentral.